AUUGAACGCUGGCGGCAUGAUUUACACAUGCAAGUCGAACGGUAACAGGCCGCAAGGUGCUGACGUGUGGAGAACGGGUGAGUAAUGCAUCGGAACGUGCCCAGUCGUGGGGGCUAACUACUCGAAAGAGUAGCUAAUACCGCAUACGAUCUAUGGAUGCAAGCGGGGGACCGUAAGGCCUCGCGCGAUUGGAGCGGCCGAUGUCAGAUUAGGUAGUUGGUGGGGUAAAGGCUCACCAAGCCAACGAUCUGGAGCUGGUCUGAGAGGACGACCAGCCACACUGGGACUGAGACACGGACCAGACUCCUACGGGAGGCAGCAGUGGGGAAUUUUGGACCAUGGGCGCAAGCCUGAUCCAGCAAUGCCGCGUGCAGGAAGAAGGCCUUCGGGUUGUAAAAUGCUUUUGUACGGAACGAAACGGCUCUGGUUAAUACCCGCGGCUAAUGACGGUACCGUAAGAAUAAGCACCGGCUAACUACGUG
This 482-nucleotide ribosomal RNA is filed under the name uncultured bacterium. RNAcentral's name for it is "partial 16S ribosomal RNA". It matches the Rfam family "Bacterial small subunit ribosomal RNA", at positions 30 to 507 of the family's 1533-position model. The record is from RNAcentral.